RNAcentral lists this ribosomal RNA (253 nucleotides) under uncultured bacterium. RNAcentral describes it as "partial 16S ribosomal RNA". It matches the Rfam family "Bacterial small subunit ribosomal RNA", at positions 524 to 776 of the family's 1533-position model. The record is from RNAcentral.
UACAGGGGGUGCUAGCGUUGUUCGGAAUUACUGGGCGUAAAGGGCGCGUAGGCGGUUUAGCAAGUCAGAUGUGAAAUCCCGGGGCUUAACUCCGGAAGUGCAUUUGAAACUGCUAGGCUAGAGUGCAGUAGAGGUUGGUGGAAUUCCCAGUGUAGAGGUGAAAUUCGUAGAUAUUGGGAGGAACACCAGUGGCGAAGGCGGCCAACUGGGCUGCAACUGACGCUGAGGCGCGAAAGCGUGGGGAUCAAACAGG